This 253-nucleotide ribosomal RNA is filed under the name uncultured bacterium. RNAcentral describes it as "partial 16S ribosomal RNA". It matches the Rfam family "Bacterial small subunit ribosomal RNA", at positions 524 to 776 of the family's 1533-position model. The record is from RNAcentral.
UACGUAGGGUCCGAGCGUUGUCCGGAAUUAUUGGGCGUAAAGGGCUCGUAGGCGGUCUGUUGCGUCGGGAGUGAAAACUUACAGCUUAACUGUGAGCGUGCUUUCGAUACGGGCAGACUUGAGGCAUUCAGGGGAGAACGGAAUUCCUGGUGUAGCGGUGAAAUGCGCAGAUAUCAGGAGGAACACCGGUGGCGAAGGCAGGUCUCUGGGCCACUACUGACGCUGAGAAGCGAAAGCAUGGGGAGCGAACAGG